This is a non-coding RNA of Delphinapterus leucas (beluga whale), 459 nucleotides long. NCBI's taxonomy places the organism in Eukaryota, Metazoa, Chordata, Mammalia, Artiodactyla, Monodontidae. The record is from RefSeq and is a predicted model, not a curated record.
UUCCCUCCAGAUGGAAGAAAAAACUGAAAAAGUCCAUGGGGAACUUCUUGAUGUGACAAUUGGAAAAGGCUGUGGAACUUGCACUUAGAUAAGAUUGAUUCCAGGCCUUAAUUAAUUCUGGACCAUGAGCCAUACCUUCAUAGAACACAGAACUGAUCAGAUUUCCAGUGCUUGACCCACGGAGCAGUGAUGAAAUGCCGUUUUCUAUGAUGGGGAACCUGGAGACGGUUGGAGGUGGGGAAGAAGGCCAGUUUGGUUCUGCACUUGUGGAGCUGAAGCUGCUUUGUCACCCCGGUGGAGCUGUUGAGAAGGCAGGUGAUGUGCGAGACUGUGCUUGGAACACAGAUCUGUCCCAGAAAGAUACAUUUUGGAAAUUUCAGCAUUUGCUAGAACAAGUUUUUCUUGACUCUGAAUGUCCCUUACCUAAAGAACAUUACCACUUCAGCUGCAAUGCAGGAU